GUCGAAGCGGAAAGGCCCUUCGGGGUACUCGAGCGGCGAACGGGUGAGUAACACGUGAGCAACCUGCCCUAGGCUUUGGGAUAACCCUCGGAAACGGGGGCUAAUACCGAAUAUGACUACUGAUCGCAUGGUUGGUGGUGGAAAGUUUUUCGGCCUGGGAUGGGCUCGCGGCCUAUCAGCUUGUUGGUGGGGUGAUGGCCUACCAAGGCGACGACGGGUAGCCGGCCUGAGAGGGCGACCGGCCACACUGGGACUGAGACACGGCCCAGACUCCUACGGGAGGCAGCAGUGGGGAAUAUUGCACAAUGGGCGGAAGCCUGAUGCAGCGACGCCGCGUGAGGGAUGACGGCCUUCGGGUUGUAAACCUCUUUCAGCAGGGACGAAGCGAAAGUGACGGUACCUGCAGAAGAAGCGCCGGCCAACUACGUGCCAGCAGCCGCGGUAAGACGUAGGGCGCGAGCGUUGUCCGGAUUUAUUGGGCGUAAAGAGCUCGUAGGCGGCUUGUCGCGUCGACUGUGAAAACCCGCAGCUCAACUGCGGGCCUGCAGUCGAUACGGGCAGGCUAGAGUUCGGUAGGGGAGACUGGAAUUCCUGGUGUAGCGGUGAAAUGCGCAGAUAUCAGGAGGAACACCGGUGGCGAAGGCGGGUCUCUGGGCCGAUACUGACGCUGAGGAGCGAAAGCGUGGGGAGCGAACAGGAUUAGAUACCCUGGUAGUCCACGCUGUAAACGUUGGGCGCUAGGUGUGGGGGGGCCUCUCCGGUUCCCUGUGCCGCAGCUAACGCAUUAAGCGCC
Molecule: ribosomal RNA, 793 nt
Filed under: Micromonospora sp. R19-08
Lineage: Bacteria; Bacillati; Actinomycetota; Actinomycetes; Micromonosporales; Micromonosporaceae
Description: bacterial SSU rRNA
Rfam family: Bacterial small subunit ribosomal RNA
Source: RNAcentral